CAUUGGAUCCUGUUCGCUGCCAUUUUGCAGCAUCACUUUGCCCUGGAGGUCAAAGCAGUGCAGACCAAUGACCAGCACCCGUACCAGAGCACCAAUCCCCGGCCCCUGGCGCUGGUAGGUGCAAUCCGCCCGGAGCUGGAUUCCUGCCUUACGAGCAGCAUGUUUAUGAGUUAUAGACAAAGGCACAGGAUCACGAGAUACCCACAUCAUGUAUGGUCCUCACAACAUUCAGACAGGUAAGAC
Molecule: long non-coding RNA, 243 nt
Organism: Pseudophryne corroboree (corroboree frog)
Lineage: Eukaryota; Metazoa; Chordata; Amphibia; Anura; Myobatrachidae
Exons: 3
Source: RefSeq, a predicted model, not a curated record